Molecule: ribosomal RNA, 204 nt
Filed under: Gilliamella sp. GillExp13
Lineage: Bacteria; Pseudomonadati; Pseudomonadota; Gammaproteobacteria; Orbales; Orbaceae
Description: partial 16S ribosomal RNA
Rfam family: Bacterial small subunit ribosomal RNA
Source: RNAcentral
UUAAAUUGAAGAGUUUGAUCAUGGCUCAGAUUGAACGCUGGCGGCAGGCUUAACACAUGCAAGUCGAACGGUAACAUAAGUGCUUGCACUUGAUGACGAGUGGCGGACGGGUGAGUAAGGUAUGGGGAUCUGCCGAAUGGAGGGGGACAACAGUUGGAAACGACUGCUAAUACCGCAUAAAGUUGAGAGACCAAAGCAUGGGAC